CCCCCAAGGAGACACACAAACACACACACAUAUAUAAUCUUGACCAAGGCAGACGUAUGAAAAGGAACAGCGUGAUGUGAAAUGGUUUGGCUUCAUGAGGGUCUGCGACUAUAGCAGCAGCAGCAGCAGCAGCAGCCUGCGGCAGGAGAAGAGAAAGCUGUCCUUCUGUGUGAGAAAAGUCCUUGCAGAACCAGAAGAUCUUUCAUCGAAGUUUCAGCUGCACCAACCGAACACUGAGGAAACGACAGCAAAUGGGGCCGCUGCAAAUGUUUUCAUCGGCUGCUGCAUGAAAAUACGGUAAACAUCACUGCCGUGUCUGUGAGAGACACAAGGUGGGUAUGGAUUAAAAACACCCACGCCGAAGGGCAUGCAGACACAAACGAUUUCACGUUGGCCACAUCAAAACGCACGCAUCGCACACUCUGUCUCCUCUGCACGCUUUUAACCGUGAUUAAUAACACUCACAUUACRUCAAAUCUCCAAACUAGGCACCUCCGGAUAACGUAUCACAUUAUCGUGUGUGUCCAGGUCACAUUGGUUCUCAGUAAAAACCCACCGCUGUCCCUGGCAGUUUAAUUAAGCACGUUUCCAAAUAUGCACAUAGACAAAAAAGUAGCUUGCAGGUUUCCCCCGUAUGCGGCAACGUUUCACCAACUUUUCACGCUCGACGAACGUUUCAUAUUCGACGCACAUGAGAGACAUCGUCACUCAGAAGAGCGAAGAAGUUGUCGCGCUAAAGAUUGGAGGACAAAUCUGGCCGCAGAAGCUCUCGUCUCCGUCUGUCGCUAAUCUUUUUAAUGAAACUAAAGCUCUAUGCYGUAUCUGGGAUAGUAUAAUCGCUGCACUAAAUAACACACAGUGACAUUUAUACAGCGUAUAUGAGAUGACGCUGUGCUAAUAACAGUCGGUAAAGGGAGAGGAGGGCCUUGCAAGCAUGUUAAAUACAUUUUUCCUACACUUUAAUGUGAUGAUUUUUAACAAUUUUCCGUGAAACCGGUUUUAUUGCCGUGUUUACAAACAUGGUUGAUGUUAAUGUGUGUUUAAUGCUCAGUCUGGGCCCGAAUUUAGCUGUAAACACUGACAACGCUGUUUUCUCUAAAACCGAGCAGCAAAUCUUGGAUUUUUAUAGAAGUUUUUUUUCUUCUUCUUCUUCUUCUUCUUCUUUUUUUUAAAUUAAUCUUAAAAUUGACAGUGGACAAGCGUGGCUCCAAUAACUGCAAUACUUUGGGCUUCUAUUGAAUUUCUCUUGUAAAACUUUCUCCCAACAGCCCAUCACGUCUGCCUGACCUGCAGUCACCUCUGUCCCACGAGGCGCUGAUGUCAUCUGACAAGGUGACGUCCUCUGGCCCACCAGAAUGUCGGACGCAGAGUACGGCUGAGCGGUCAAGAAGAUUAGCUUUUUAUCAACUUUUCCUGAGAGUUUCUACCGUCUUUUUCAAAAGCAUCAGAAUAUCCAAGAAAGAUGGGGGGAAAAAAGAUUACAAGCAUGCUUCCUGUUUGUUGACCACAAAGAUACUUCAUGCUUGUACUUAGUAACAAAAAGUGCAUACUUAUGUUGUCUUGCGAAAGUGCUAAGGUCCCUUAGGUCUUUCCAUUUCCAUUUUGGACAAAUUCUUCUGCCCCUUCUUCUGCUUGCCUCCCCAAACUAUUAAAAGCACGAAAGAAACUUGCAAGAUUUGCAGCUGCAAUUGCAGCAAAAGCAGUUAAMGUGUUUUUCAAGGGCGGCUGAAUGCAAACGCACCCCCCAUUUUACUCACUUUUAAUCUGUAAACAUGAUUUACUUCCAGACAUGAACUAAAUUGUGCAGGCCAAUCGCAGCACAAUCCCAAUAUAUUUACAUUGAAGUCGAGGUUUUACGGGGUGUCGGCGCUCAUUCAGGGUUCUGGAUUCGUUUGUAGGCUUUCUGGUUAGUCCAUCUGCAUCAGCAUCGCUCUGGAAGAUGAGAACGGUUAAAUGCAACGACCUUCUGGUUUUUAAUACUGAUGGAUCCAGGCUGCUUCGCGCUUUAGGAGCAGAUCCUCCUUACGAUCACAUUUUGGGUCGAUUCAGUCAGUGAUGAAACUCCUAACGGGCUAAACUGUGACACUACAGACCGAUUCAGAGACUCCGUUAUUUGUGCACGUGUGCAAAAACAUUCUAUUUCUGUUUCUAUUUCAAAGCUGGACAAACUGCUGAUAACAAAAAUAAAAUGUUUGCAACUGUGCAGCAGACCUUAUAUGUUCAUAAACUGCACUGAUUUAUACAGUAUGGUUCUAUUAUAGAGAGCUUUACACUACUUUUCUCACACGGUCUCAAUAUUCAGUUAGGAAGUAAGUGUUAAAAACCCCCUUUGGAUCUCGUAGCAGCAGCGCCAAGAGACCAUAAGUGGUGUACGGGCUCCGUUGUCCUAAUUGGCUCCAGCGGCUGCCCCUGUCAUGGUGUAAAAGUUAUGCCUAGUGAGACCCGACUCUUUGCUCAUUUCCCUUUUUUUCUAUUUAACUUUGGUUUACUCUUUUUAGAAAGAAAUUAUUUUUUUUCCCUCAAACCUCUAUUUUAAAACGUAGCCCUGAGAGCUCCAUCUAAACAAACCGGCUUUGGAAAAAAAAUAAAAUUAUAAAUUACAACUUWACAYUAAGAGGAUGGCAGUUUCUCUUGAAAAGAAGUGAGAGAAAUUGUCUCCAAGAGGCAGAUAAAGGUGACCUAUUAGAGACUUUUUCAGGUCUGUGCUUAAAACCCUUUGAGAAUCCAACUCUAUUUUUCUUUUGCACAUCUCRCAGAUGGCUGACGAGAUGGGGAUCUUAGUAAUUUGGAUUCCACUUAAGUUCUGUGUCAUGUUCCAGAAUUGAUUGCUGCAGUCGAGUAAAAAAGGAAGCUGGACUGUUUGUGUAAGAGACCAGCUGUAGGUGAGAGCGACACCUUAAAUCAGUCCAUACAAACAGAGAGCAGCAUGUUACAGGACGCAUAGAAGGAAGAUUUUUACAGCUUGAUUUUUGUUUUCUCCAAAARCUGUCMUUCAACCUUUAGUUUAGCUUUUUUUUUUUUUUUCUGUUGCGUAUUAUACAUUUCCGUGACAUUCAGAAAACACCUUUCAAAAUCCAUCCUCCUUUAUCCGCUCGCUGGCUAUCUUUUUGCAUCACCGGGAGCUCAUAAAUGUUUGCCCGGGCUAAAAAAAACAACAAAAAAACAAAAUAAAAACAGAAAAACAUCAAGAGUAAAUCURAUAGUUUUUGUUUUGUUUUGUUUUGUUUUUUUCGCCCCAUAUUCUUUCAAAACUAUUACAGAAACAAAUGAAAAAGUUUCUAUCUGCCCCACAGCUCCAAUCUAUUCUCCAGAUAAACCCGUUCACAUCCACCUCUCUUAAUCAGGAGGAAAGCAACUUCCCUUCAUUUCUUCAGCAUGGUGGUUGGGAUUUGUUCUCUUCUGGCCUGCAGCAGCAGCAGCAGUCAGACACACAUCAGACUGCAGCAGCAGCAGCAGUCAGACACACAUCAGACUGCAGCAGCAGCAGCAGCACGCUUUUGUGUCCUGACACAUUUCUGUCACAGACACAAUUAAUGCCUAAAGCGAUACUUUGUGGAGCCGGACUGCACAGGGCGCUCGCUCUUCCCCCACAUGGACACAAUGCAAGUACAGGUUUGCCUGUUGUCCUUCCCUGGACCACUUUCAUGAGCUACAGCAACCGUGCACAGAAAAGCCUAAAUGUUGCGUUACUUCAAAGCAUUGUGGGGCUAUUUUGUGGUAAACCAACACAAACUAGUGCAUAAUUCUGCAGUGGAUGGAAAUUAUGGCUGAAAACAUCAGAUUAAAAUCUGAAGUGUGUGGGGUGCAUUUGUAUUCAGUCCCCAUUUUUCUUUGAUGGCUUUAUAGACAAUCCAGUCUGAAUAAUUGCCUUUUGGAAGUUUCCUAAUUAGUAACCGAGAUCAACACGCAUUCCUGUCGCAAUAACAAAUUUCGCUGGACAAUAAUUUGUCGCAGAAGUUACUGCGAUAAAUGACAAUAUUGUCGUUUAUCGCAGUUUACAUGAUGCAGUUUACAAGUGCAUCAAGUUGCACUUUCAAGCAAUAUAACGUGAAUAGCAUGAUAAUGAAAGCAUUCGCAUGGUUAAAUUGAGACCAAACUUUAAAACUCYAUGURUGGCACUUUACUCUAAACCCACCAUUUUGGAGGCUCAGCAUGGUGGUGGCAGCAUUAUUCUCUGUGGAUGCUUUAGGAAUGGAGAAGACUGUUAAUGGGUAAAGGCUCUUCUUCUGGCAGAGCUGCCAUCUUAAUACAGCCAGAGCAGACAUUCAAUCUAGUGUUUUAGAUCAAAGAAUAUUCAUGUCUUAGAAUGGUCUAGUCAAAGUUGAAACCUAAAUGUUUUUGGGAUUUUUUUUCUUGUUUGGAAAGUUUUGAAAACUGGUGUUCACUCUCUGUCUAAUCUGAGCUUAAGUUGUUUGGUAAAUAUUUCCGUCUGUAGAUGUUGACUGUGUCACUUUUCAGAUUUGUAUUUCUGCAAAAUGUAAAAAAAACAACAACCCUAUUUUGCAUUGAUCUGUGAUGAUUUUAAAGUGAUAUAAUGGCGUAGAAAUACAUUUGAAAAGUCCAGUGAUUUAUCCGGGUGGGAUCCGACAUCCCUCCUGAGCUGCUAUCAGAGAUGAGAUCCAGACCUUUUCCGGCCCAGGCAUUCAGCCUCUAAAGUACAACACUUUAAGAUUUGAGCUACCGAUUCGGUCUCCGUUCCGCUCCGACACUUUUCGGCUGCCAAAGAGAAGGGCAUUCACUUUAUUUGUUUUCUUAAUUUUUAAUUUUUUUUUUUUUGAAAGGUUCUGCUGAGCAGUGUUGUUUUGCAACAACAAUUUUACAGAUUCACAAAAAGUAAUUUUGUUUUUAAAGACCCCAGUCACACGAGCCAGACGACUUUAUUACACACUUCAGGUUUGCAGCGUGAUGAUUCAUCAGUUACAGACAUUUAAAUAACUUUUUAUUUUUUUUAUUUUAACACCACAUGGGAGGGGUUAGCGAGAGCUUACAAUUAUGCUAUUAUUCCCAGUGUGUCCUGUUAGGCUAAACAUUUCAAAUCCAUCAUAGAAGGCAUAAUUAAUCCGGUUCACUUGAAUGGGAUAAUAAACCCUGUGUAAUACGCUUUACAUGGAGGUGAUUGGCAGCUUGUCUUCUAGCCUCCAGGUGAGCAUUAGAAGGAGGCAGAGAGUGCGAUGGGGAUCACAUGGGCACUAAUGCGUGUGCCCUUGUGAGCACGUGCUGCCUGUGCGUUCGUGGCGGCGCAAUUUGGUUUCGUCUGUUGUGAUCCAGUCCCAGCUGUGUCUCAUUAACGGCUGUCAUUUUAAUCCUCUUAGUCAAAUCCCAUAAUUUUGUCCAUCAACAAAAACACAAGCAACAGGGCGACGACAGAGUACCCAGCUUCAGUCGUUCAGGAAGGGGGGGGGGAGGCAAGUCAGGGYGGCGUCAACGGCAGCACGGCUGCAUCCAGACAGAUGUUAUGUAAAACGACCCCGCCGCUCUUUGAACUGUUUUGAUGAGAAGCUACAGUUAAUCUGACUUGGACUGUGCAGAUUUCGAGGAAAAGCGUGGAUUUUUGUCGGUCGUAGCUUUGCUCAUCUGUGCAUCCUCCUGGGACGAUGAUGAGCAGUUUGGUUAAAUUACACAUCCUGCCUGCAUCAUUCUCUCCCCCAUCCCUCUCACCCCCAUUGCCCAGGGCGGCAUUAAAAAAAAAAAAAAAAAGGGCAGUGUGUGAGCGCCAUACAAAAAAUUAUAACCUAUUUAUUGCUUGGCUGCGUCCUGAAGAAAAAAAAAGAAGAAAAAAAAGAAGUUAUCUAUUGCAUUUAUGCAUGUACGGUCAGGGAGGAGUUGGUUGCCGCUGAGAAUCCGGAGCCCAGGCUGUCAGUCACACAGCCUGGCCCACAUGUGGUCAKGUUCAGUGUAUCCCUCCCCGUUCAGCCGGACUCUCUGAACAAGGGUUAAAAGGAGGGCACUCCUGUGGACGUUUGCAUGGCUGAGGGUGAAGCAGCCGCUAAAUGAAGAAGAGAAAAGGCUUMAUUUCUCGCUGUUAGGGCGGGUGAACCACACCGAUGCCCCCUGAAUCUCCCUCGGUGAUUUUGGUGUGAAUUCGGUUGAGAAAUCUGCGACAGAUUCACAGUCCGCCUUCUCUGUGGCCGAGCGACUCUCUCUCCUCCUUCCACGAUGGAAAAGCUAUUUUCUUCUCUUUCCUCACACUGACAGCUGGUGUGUGCUCGCCACCAACAACACUUCAGCUCAGACCAGCUCUAUGUAUAGAUCCCUCUCAUUGCAAACAGCUAUUUUAGCACCUCCUGCAUGCUAAGAAUACACAUGCAACAUUCUGCCGUGCUUUAUGCCUUAUGCAAAUGCUUCUUCCUUUGUUUGCAAAUGAGAUUCGGAAGUGCUGCAAUGCACAGUUUCUUUAGAAAGAAAGAAUAAAAACACUUGGUUUUCUUAGCGACGAGCAACCCAACAGGAUUGUCCAAAUGCCAAGCCGUCYCCUGAGAGGAAUCGUGAUGCACACGGAGCUUGUGGUUACUUUUAAUUGUGACAUUUAUGAGAUAUAAGAGAGCAACAUUUGUUCUCCCCUUCCCCCUGUGCCAAAUCUGGCCAGCCGGGGGAUUCUUUUAGUUCCAUGAGAGCGAGUCGUCCAUUAAUUGUGAGUAUAACCGGUGAAUCGAUCUGUCAGGUGGUAUUUUCCCAAGCUGCAAAUUAGUUUCCCUGGAAGCUGUUGGACUACGUCGGAGAGAGCUGCGGCGUGUCUGCACCCUGGGUAUGGUAAUUCCACACUGUGUUGCCACAGCUUCCCAUGAUGACUAUAAAGUUCAAAUAAACACAUUGCAAUUACCAUCUUUUUCUUUUUUUUUUUUUUCUUUUUCGCUCAGUGCAUGGGCGCCUUUAGUGACUACCUCCACCAGGAGCUGGGACAAGCCUCACUGCCUCACUUUACCUCGGUGUCAUCCUGGGCUGCAAAACAAGAUUAAAUUGGUUCUGCUCAACUAUUUGCUGUCAGUUCAGAGCUCAGCUCUUUUCACCUCUUGGGAGCAUGGUGAUGGAGUAAAAGAGAAGCGCGAGGAGGAAACAGAGAGUUAAAGG
Poecilia reticulata (guppy) is the source of this 7068-nucleotide long non-coding RNA. RefSeq lists it as uncharacterized. The record is from RefSeq and is a predicted model, not a curated record. NCBI's taxonomy places the organism in Eukaryota, Metazoa, Chordata, Actinopteri, Cyprinodontiformes, Poeciliidae.